This is a long non-coding RNA of Poeciliopsis prolifica (blackstripe livebearer), 1347 nucleotides long. RefSeq lists it as uncharacterized. The transcript has 3 exons. Lineage: Eukaryota; Metazoa; Chordata; Actinopteri; Cyprinodontiformes; Poeciliidae. The record is from RefSeq and is a predicted model, not a curated record.
CAGGUCGUCGGUCGAGGCUGUUUCUUAUUUUCCCCUUUAUUUUCUUCAUCAUUUCUCUGAGUUUAAUUUUCAUCUUCAGCUUGAAAAAUUGCUCCAAAAACUCAAAAUUUCAAGAGAACCUGCAGAGAGCCUCUGCCUUGCAGUUUGGAUGCCUUGCUCAAGAGCAGACCUGUGUUGAUGUGGAGCAGAACUCAAUGAUUCCUGAUGAACCGCGGCGUCAUGAAAACUGUGGAGGUUGAGUCGAUCAAUCUGAGACUAUCGAUGAAACCAGGUUCUUCAUAAAGCAGCUCACAGACUCUGCAGGAAUCCCACAAACUUUCUGAUAAACAUGAGAAAUGUUCUGGGUUGAUCCAGCAGAAGCUCGUCUGCUGUUGGAUGAACUGUGCAGAGCAGCUCUGCCAUCGUCUGUCUGAGCCGUCUGAGCCGCAGCAUCAGAGCCGCAGCAUCAGAGCCGCAGCAUCAGAGCCGCAGCAUCAGAGCCGCACCGCUAAAGCCCGAUGAAGAGGUUCUGAUCUGGAGAUGAUUGAAUUACUGAUAAAAUCAGAAACAUUAUGGACAAUCCUGACCAUCCUCUUUAUGACACUGUCUUGGGAAGGCAGAGUAUCUCCAGUCAGAGGCUUCUUCAGAUUCAGUGCAGCACAGACUGUUGCAGGAGAUCUUUUCCUCACCAUCUACAAUAACUCUGAAGAAUUAAUGAGCUACAUUAAUUCUUCAGAGUUAAUGUACCUUAACUCUACAUUCCAUUUUGAUUGAAAUGUAUUUUUGAAUUUGAAUUUUCUAGGAUUGUUUUAACUUAUUUUACUUCUGCUUAGUGUCACAAUAUAUGAUCUGGUAUCAUCUUUCAGUUUGAUGCAUUUUAUUUAUUUUGAGUCUGUAGAUCAGAUCAGGCUGUGAAACGUUAGGAAAUAUUUUGAAUGUAUGUGUGAAAAAAUAGUGUGAUGUGAAGUAUUUUUCAUUGAUGCACUUUAUUUGCAAUUAUUUUGUCAUCUGGAUUUUAAUGUCUGCACUAAACACUAAAACAAAUCCCUCAAUGUGAAAGUCUGAGUUGUUUUCCUUGCAGUUGACCUGCUGUGGUCUCAUGAUGGACUGUAAUUUAUUUUCCCAUCACUUCCUGGAGAAGGGAUGUUUUUUAGAGAAAUGCUGGGGAUUUUAAUCCUCCUGGAUUAAAUGGAUUUUUUUAAACUAAUUUAUUUUGCUCGUUGGAGACUUAAAGCAUUUAAUUGGUACUAAAUGAUUCUCAGUAUUGGGUGAUAAAAACCUUAUCAAGUUAAUAAAUUAAGCAUAAAUGUUUCUGACUUAAAUAUUUAUUUUUUCUACUGCUGAAUGUUUUUUGCAAUAAAGUGAACU